Molecule: ribosomal RNA, 253 nt
Filed under: uncultured bacterium
Lineage: Bacteria
Description: partial 16S ribosomal RNA
Rfam family: Bacterial small subunit ribosomal RNA
Source: RNAcentral
UACAGAGGGGGCAAGCGUUGUUCGGAAUUACUUGGCGUAAAGGGCGCGUAGGCGGCCUUCUAAGUCGAACGUGAAAUCCCCAGGCUUAACCUGGGAACUGCAUCCGAUACUGGAUGGCUUGAAUCCGGGAGAGGGAUGCAGAAUUCCAGGUGUAGCGGUGAAAUGCGUAGAUAUCUGGAGGAAUACCGGUGGCGAAGGCGGCAUCCUGGACCGGCAUUGACGCUGAUGAGCGAAAGCUAGGGGAGCAAACGGG